Molecule: long non-coding RNA, 284 nt
Organism: Toxotes jaculatrix (banded archerfish)
Lineage: Eukaryota; Metazoa; Chordata; Actinopteri; Toxotidae
Exons: 2
Source: RefSeq, a predicted model, not a curated record
GCCUCUUGGAGUGAUUUUCAGUUGUACUUUGUAAUAAAAUAUUGUUCAUUUUGUACUUUGUCGUCGAGCCGUGCAUUUGGGUUCAGGUCCAAGUACAGCCUUAACAGUGUCUGGUUACUUUUGUAUCAGAGCCCAGGAACAAGCUUGGUUAUGAGGCCCUCACAGAAGAAGAGGAGAGGGAAUCGAACCAAGACUUUGGUGGCAAUUGAUGGAGGUUCUGACCUCUUAUCCCCCAAAAAGAGACCUAACCCUCACAAUGAAGAUGGGAGUUCAGAUAUAGAUGG